UAGUCCACACGGUAAACGAUGAAUACUCGCUGUUUGCGAUAUACAGCAAGCGGCCAAGCGAAAGCGUUAAGUAUUCCACCUGGGGAGUACGCCGGCAACGGUGAAACUCAAAGGAAUUGACGGGGGCCCGCACAAGCGGAGGAACAUGUGGUUUAAUUCGAUGAUACGCGAGGAACCUUACCCGGGCUUAAAUUGCAGAUGAAUUACGGUGAAAGCCGUAAGCCGCAAGGCAUCUGUGA
RNAcentral lists this ribosomal RNA (239 nucleotides) under uncultured bacterium. RNAcentral describes it as "partial 16S ribosomal RNA". It matches the Rfam family "Bacterial small subunit ribosomal RNA", at positions 791 to 1035 of the family's 1533-position model. The record is from RNAcentral.